AGAGUUUGAUCCUGGCUCAGGAUGAACGCUGGCGGUAUGCCUAACACAUGCAAGUCGUACGAGAGUUUUUAACUCUAGUGGCGGACGGGUGAGUAACACGUAAGAAUUUACCUUCAGGAGGGGGAUAACAAUUGGAAACAAAUGCUAAUACCCCAUAUGCUUUCGAGUGAAAUGGAUUUAUAUUUAUCCGCCUAAAGAGAAGCUUGCGUCUGAUUAGCUUGUUGGUAAGGUAAAAGCUUACCAAGGCGACGAUCAGUAUCUGGUUUGAGAGGACGAUCAGACACACUGGAACUGAGACACGGUCCAGACUCCUACGGGAGGCAGCAGUGGGGAAUUUUCCGCAAUGGGCGAAAGCCUGACGGAGCAAUACCGCGUGAGGGAAGACUCC
RNAcentral lists this ribosomal RNA (388 nucleotides) under uncultured bacterium. Its description in RNAcentral is "bacterial SSU rRNA". It matches the Rfam family "Bacterial small subunit ribosomal RNA", at positions 8 to 415 of the family's 1533-position model. The record is from RNAcentral.